GGCGCAAAAUUGGUCGAUUUUGUUCCUUGGUAAGGAUGAGGUCGCCGGUUCGAAUCCGGCCAUCAGCUCCA
Molecule: transfer RNA, 71 nt
Filed under: Caudoviricetes sp.
Lineage: Duplodnaviria; Heunggongvirae; Uroviricota; Caudoviricetes
Description: tRNA-Ser
Source: RNAcentral